GAAUGUUACAGCUCUUUUAGAGUUCAUCUAGCAGGAAAAGCCCUCCCUC
RNAcentral lists this small nuclear RNA (49 nucleotides) under Otolemur garnettii (small-eared galago). RNAcentral describes it as "U7 small nuclear RNA". It matches the Rfam family "U7 small nuclear RNA". Rfam says of the family: Animal histone pre-mRNAs are spliced by a different mechanism than nuclear pre-mRNAs and self-splicing introns. This processing involves the U7 snRNP, which contains only one RNA species: U7. The record is from Rfam by way of RNAcentral. Lineage: Eukaryota; Metazoa; Chordata; Mammalia; Primates; Galagidae.